Long non-coding RNA from Zophobas morio, 562 nucleotides. RefSeq lists it as uncharacterized. Lineage: Eukaryota; Metazoa; Arthropoda; Insecta; Coleoptera; Tenebrionidae. The transcript has 3 exons. The record is from RefSeq and is a predicted model, not a curated record.
CGCAUGACCGGGAAGCCAAAACCCAAAAACCUACUGCUAGUUACCACAGAUCUAAUUGUUUGAAAAAGCGUCGUCAUGACAGGAAAUCCGAAAUCGUCGACCCGAAAUUAAAGACCACGCUGACUUGGAGUGUCAAAAAUAAGUGCCCAGUACCCAAACCAACCAAACCCAAACCAAAUUAUGAAAUCGCAGCGGACUCUCUAAAGAUAGGUGAACUUUGUACUGUUUGCCAUGUUGUGUCACCGUUGGAGUUCUACGUCCGGACUAACCCAAACUUCGAAAGGUAGGUACCACAGGGUGUAGAUUGACCUUACCGGGUUGUUAGUUUUGAGGUACAUAUUAACGCGAGUUGUACUCCCGGUUUCCGAAAAUGGCCACUUUGUGCCACCUUGCUGGUAUAUAUUGGCCCACAAAUGACCCAUGGCCUGCAACAACCAUACAAUUUUUGGCAGAUGUGACUCGAGGAAGACAAUUUCUGGUCAUCUAUGUACACGAGGAACGAAAUUCGUGUGCUGUUGAUUUAAGGGAAACGGAAGACCCCAAUGCGGAAAGCUUGGGGGAG